ACGGAAGGCAGCAGUGGGGAAUUUUGCGCAAUGGGGGGAACCCUGACGCAGCAACGCCGCGUGCGGGAUGAAGGCCUUCGGGUUGUAAACCGCUUUCAGCAGGGACGAUUAUGACGGUACCUGCAGAAGAGGCUCCGGCUAACUACGUGCCAGCAGCCGCGGUAAUACGUAGGGAGCGAGCGUUAUCCGGAUUCAUUGGGCGUAAAGCGCGCGUAGGCGGCUUGCUAAGCGGAACCUCUAAUCCGAGGGCUCAACCCCCGGCCGGGUUCCGAACUGGCAGGCUCGAGUGCGGUAGGGGCAAGUGGAAUUCCAUGUGUAGCGGUGGAAUGCGCAGAUAUAUGGAAGAACACCGAUGGCGAAGGCAGCUUGCUGGGCCGACACUGACGCUGAGGUGCGAAAGCGUGGGGAGCGAACAGGAUUAGAUACCCUGGUA
Molecule: ribosomal RNA, 433 nt
Filed under: uncultured Coriobacteriaceae bacterium
Lineage: Bacteria; Bacillati; Actinomycetota; Coriobacteriia; Coriobacteriales; Coriobacteriaceae
Description: partial 16S ribosomal RNA
Rfam family: Bacterial small subunit ribosomal RNA
Source: RNAcentral